CGUCGCAAAUCAUUCAGAGCGAUUAGCUUGGGGGACCUCAGAGGCACAUAAAGACGUCAUGUCGUCCGUCUUCGAUGGUUUAUUAGUUUACAACGGGUAAACAUUAAACAAUGUCGCGCGCGGGCGCGGUGGGGUGUGGGUGCGCAGUGCCGACGCCGCAGCCCAGCAGGCCAAGCGAGCGGAGGAGGGUCCGCGGUCCCGCGGCGCCGCGGCCGCGACCCGACGACGCGCAUAACGGCGCGGCGUCCGCGCCGCCAUAGCGCACGGGAUCGGAGUCUUCUCCGGUUGCCGGACAGCCUCACACGUCGUGCAGGAGGACAUAAUUGUCUUGCGCUACAAUGCUUCUCACAUUUUGAUUAUGGCGAGACAGUCUAUCAAAGUCCAGUUAUCGGUGCAAGCACCCCCCCCCCUCAUCCCCCUGGUAAAUCUGAAGCAAGAAUCGUGUUCUAAUCAGCCUCAUGGAAGCAAAUACAGCGUACAACUCAUAAGUACGGUACAAUAAA
Long non-coding RNA from Frankliniella occidentalis (western flower thrips), 503 nucleotides. RefSeq lists it as uncharacterized. The transcript has 2 exons. NCBI's taxonomy places the organism in Eukaryota, Metazoa, Arthropoda, Insecta, Thysanoptera, Thripidae. The record is from RefSeq and is a predicted model, not a curated record.